AUAUCAAUAAGCGGAGGAAAAGAAACCAACAGGGAUUGCCCUAGUAACGGCGAGUGAAGCGGCAACAGCUCAAAUUUGAAAUCUGGCCCCUCCGGGGUCCGAGUUGUAAUUUGCAGAGGGUGNUUCGGCGUCGGCCCCGGGUCAAGUCCCCUGGAACGGGGCGUCCCAGAGGGUGAGAACCCCGUANCNACCCGGGUGCCCUUCGCCGUGUGAAGCCCCUUCGACGAGUCGAGUUGUUUGGGAAUGCAGCUCUAAGUGGGAGGUAAAUUUCUUCUAAAGCUAAAUACCGGCCAGAGACCGAUAGCGCACAAGUAGAGUGAUCGAAAGAUGAAAAGCACUUUGGAAAGAGAGUUAAAAAGCACGUGAAAUUGUUGAAAGGGAAGCUCUUGCCGCCAGACUUGCCGCGGUUGCUCAGCCGCCCUCCGGGGCGGUGNACUCUUCCGUCGGCAGGCCAGCGUCGGUUCGGGCGGCCGGAUAAAGGCCCCGGGAAUGUAGCACCCCUCGGGGUGUGUUAUAGCCCGGGGCGCAAUGCGGCCAGCCCGGUCCGAGGCACGCGUUCGCGAGGACGCUGGCGUAAUGGCUGCAAGCGACCCGUCUUGAAACACGGACCAAGGAGUCUAACAUCUGUGCGAGUGUUUGGGCGUCAAACCCAUGCGCGUAAUGAAAGUGAACGGAGGUGGGAACCCCCUCGAGGGGCGCACCAUCGACCGAUCCUGAUGUCUUCGGAUGGAUUUGAGUAAGAGCAUAGCUGUUGGGACCCGAAAGAUGGUGAACUAUUCCCGGAUAGGGUGAAGCCAGAGGAAACUCUGGUGGAGGCUCGCAGCGGUUCUGACGUGCAAAUCGAUCGUCAAAUCUAGGAAUAGGGGCGAAAGACUAAUCGAACCAU
RNAcentral lists this ribosomal RNA (886 nucleotides) under Dendrographa decolorans. RNAcentral describes it as "LSU rRNA". It matches the Rfam family "Eukaryotic large subunit ribosomal RNA", at positions 40 to 943 of the family's 3401-position model. Lineage: Eukaryota; Fungi; Ascomycota; Arthoniomycetes; Arthoniales; Roccellaceae. The record is from RNAcentral.